Molecule: long non-coding RNA, 1155 nt
Filed under: Zonotrichia albicollis (white-throated sparrow)
Lineage: Eukaryota; Metazoa; Chordata; Aves; Passeriformes; Passerellidae
Description: lncRNA (ENSZALG00000010396.1)
Source: RNAcentral
UGUUGCUCUUUAAAUUAAUACUCCAUAGCUUACAUAAUCAAAUUCAAUAUAUGCUAUAAUCUAAAGUGUCCCCGGUGCUUAUUGCAGUGUCCUUUUCAGAGGAGUCCCUGCUCCUCACCCCAAACACAGAUUUUCCUCUCUGCUGGAGUGGGUUUGGCUUUGUUGGUUUUGGCUCUGUUUGCAUUAACUCCUGCACAUAAACCCAAAGCUUUUUUCCCCUUUCCGGCCCAUUUUGAUCCUUUCAGAGCUGCCAACCCCACAGAGCAGCAGGUCAGGCUCCUCCAGAGCCUCCCUCCUUUUGCAACCCUCAUUUCCAAAUAUUCUCCUCCUGGCCAAAAAUGGAUUUUGUGCAGAUCCAGCCCCGGCGCUGGGAUAAACCCACGGGCAGGCAGCCAGAGGAGCUGUGACAGCGAACACUGACUGAGAAUCUGCUCUGCUGUUUCCAAAUAAACGAGGAAAGGCACCGACAGAAGAUGUCGGAGCCUCUCUGAGGGCUGUGGGGGCCCAGAACAAACGCUGCAGAUGAGAGGAGUGGGAAUUCUGCGUGGCUCUGCUCCUUCACCUCUGCAAAGAUUGUUUUUAUCUACUCACGGACGAGCAGGACUUUCAUUCCUGGGACCUCUCAGAGCCUCUCCUGGAUUGUUUGUGAUGCCAUUCAAAGCUGGGUCUGUGCAGUUUUAUUUUCUGUGCUUCCAUUAGCGCUGCCCUUGGCGCUGGGUGAGCAGGGGUGAGGUGAGGACUGGGCUCUGGAGCACACAGGGAAUUCUCCUGACUACAAAUCUCACUCUUUAUGAAUCCCUGCCAUUUGGGCACUGCAUUAACCCAGCCACCAUCCCUCUGUAAUUUAUUAAUCUCAGACAUGGGAAAGGAGAAGUGUUUUAUUUUCAAAGGAAAGCGAGCCAUUCAUAAAACAUUAUAUUUUGACAUUUUCUGGAGAAUAUGAAGGGGCUCAUUGCUCUGAUUCAGACCCCAUUUGCAUAAUUUUUCCUUCCCUCACCACAGGUAAAUCACGGUUAAAUAUUGAAGCAUUUAUCACCCGUGUGUUUUCAAGCCAAGCUUGGUAUGAGCACAGCAGAGGGCGAGACUUUGUCGAGCACAGGCAUCGAACUGCAGGAACAGUUUGGCCCUGCAGUUCUGCACCAUGAGAUGAAGAUC